Molecule: ribosomal RNA, 252 nt
Filed under: uncultured bacterium
Lineage: Bacteria
Description: partial 16S ribosomal RNA
Rfam family: Bacterial small subunit ribosomal RNA
Source: RNAcentral
UACGGAGGAUGCGAGCGUUAUCCGGAUUUAUUGGGUUUAAAGGGUGCGUAGGCGGACUGUCAAGUCAGCGGUAAAAUCGAGAGGCUCAACCUCUUCCCGCCGUUGAAACUGGUGGUCUUGAGUGGAUGAGAAGUACGCGGAAAGCGUGGUGUAGCGGUGAAAUGCAUAGAUAUCACGCAGAACUCCGAUUGCGAAGGCAGCGUACCGGCAUCCAACUGACGCUGAGGCACGAAAGCGUGGGGAUCAAACAGG